Molecule: non-coding RNA, 1633 nt
Organism: Punica granatum (pomegranate)
Lineage: Eukaryota; Viridiplantae; Streptophyta; Magnoliopsida; Myrtales; Lythraceae
Source: RefSeq, a predicted model, not a curated record
GACACCAAUGUGCCACCCGCCAGUGACUUUCUUCGAUGACCGCCACGGAUGGUGCUUUGGAUUAGUUCAUCGUAGCAAGCUCGGUGCACAGGUGGACUAUUUCUCAGGUUGAUAAUGGGGGCAAUAUUCAUCGGGAAUUUCCCUGUAUCUUGCAGGACAACGAGAUUCAUCAGGAGCUGGGUCCAGUACUAUGCAGUUCACCCGCAGCUGUUCUGAUCAUCUCUCAUGUGAUUGUGAUGAUGCUCAACUGUUCGGCUAAGCGUACCGCCUGCUGCGGUUCCGGUCAUCUUGGAAGGAAUUUGCAAAAGAGCUUCUGAUGCUCUAGUCCUGCUCAAGGUCACUCUUUCGCAUAACUCGAAUCUCGUUUCUUUAUUAUAUUCUAAAACAUUUUAUAGUCAAAAGAUAUUUUAGCCAGGGCAGUUGUUAGUAGCUCAAGGUAGUCGAUUGCUUGGCAUGCUCGUUAGAGGCAUUCAGAAUAUAGGCACAAACGCAUGUUUCAGUUGCCACCAAGUGUAUAAUGGAUUCAUAUUUGUUUUUCUUGCGGUGAUGGCAUCUCAUCCCGAUACGAGGAUGCUGCUGUUUGCUAGUAAGUGCUCGAAACUGUUACAUUCGAGAGUAAAGUUGAAAGGAUGCAAUUGAGUUGGUGUCCGGACAUUGUUUACCUGAAUUAAGUUCAUAGAUAGUUAUUUGGUUGUUUUAAUUGUGGGAUCUCAUGACUCUUUUCUAACCGAAGCGACAUUUUGCAGCUAAAAAUUACAAAUUAUAUGAUGCCGUUUUCUGGAAAUCUCGGACUGUAGAAGGCCCUAUGAACUCCUCAGGUUCAGCUGCUUGGGCAUUAUCAGCGCCUUAGUCCGACAUCGUCAUAUUCUAUUGACGAAAUGCAGCACCCUUUUCUAAUUAUUUCUGGAAUCCUUGAGUUAUUCUAAUUGAGCAGUUCUUCAGCAAGGGGAUUUCCGAUUUCUAAGUUUAUGCCGAACAUAUAUUCAUUAUCAGUGGUGCUGAUACUUGGUAAAACUAUAUCUAUAUUGUUUUUUCAAUUGCAGGACGAUGAUGAGGAGAUUGUCGCGUGUCUUCUUAAAACUAAACUGUUUCCUGUUGUUCUUCAUUGCCCGGAACGAGGCCAUGGAUACACAGACUGUGGCGGCGUUCAUUUUCUUUAGGAUCUUAAUGCAUGACUCAGGGCUAAGUUACUGCUGCCUUCUUCCUGAUCGUUUCUCUGCAAUAUGCCGUACUCUUGCAAUUGUCGUCUGCGGGCUUGGUCUUGAGCCUCACCGCUUGCUUCUGAGCAGCGUUGUUGGCUGCUAUUUAAGGCUUUCCAAGCAUCCAAGGAUGACCUGACAAUAGCAGAGUGGGCUCGGCAGGUCCGUGUGAAUGUUGCUCAUGGACACUAUUAUCGCCCGAUAGUUACAGACAACACCCUGAGGCGCUUCGACAGAGCUUUGCUGCAAUGCUCGAACUUGAGAGAUGACUCUGCCGAGAUUUACUUCGACAGCGAUUGUUACUGUUGUUGUAGUUCCUGUGUAGUGCUGCCUGAUCAUGCUCAAAACAUGAAAGACUAGGUUUCGAACAUCCUUAUGUUUAUCGGUCGUGGAUUUGGAGACGAUUUAACAAAUAAAAAGCUUACAGCGCGACU